UACGGAGGAUGCAAGCGUUAUCCGGAUUUAUUGGGUUUAAAGGGUGCGCAGGUGGUUAAAUAAGUCAGUGGUGAAAGUCUGCCGCUUAACGGUAGGAUUGCUAUUGAUACUGUUUAACUUGAGUUUGGAUGAGGUAGGCGGAAUGAGUAGUGUAGCGGUGAAAUGCAUAGAUAUUACUCAGAACACCGAUUGCGAAGGCAGCUUACUAAUCCACAACUGACACUGAGGCACGAAAGCGUGGGGAUCAAACAGGAUUAGAUACCCGGGUA
RNAcentral lists this ribosomal RNA (269 nucleotides) under uncultured prokaryote. Its description in RNAcentral is "partial 16S ribosomal RNA". It matches the Rfam family "Bacterial small subunit ribosomal RNA", at positions 524 to 792 of the family's 1533-position model. The record is from RNAcentral.